This is a long non-coding RNA of Cyprinus carpio carpio, 945 nucleotides long. The record is from Ensembl. NCBI's taxonomy places the organism in Eukaryota, Metazoa, Chordata, Actinopteri, Cypriniformes, Cyprinidae.
AAAUUAAACACUGCGGCUCGUGAUGAUACAUUGAUGUGUAAAAACAAAAAAUUAUCGGUCUGUGCAAGAAACUGAACAGUAUUUAUAUCGUUUUUUUUUUUACCUCUGAUUUAUGCAAUGUCAGAACUGUUAGAACUCUUGUGAAUGCGCUUCACAGCAGCCUGCAUCAUCUUCUUCUUGUUGCUUUUGUAGUGGGACGAACUUGGGUGUCUCUUUAAAUUUGUUCCAUCAGUUGUCCAAUCAUACACAUUCACGGUUCUAUAAAAGGGGACUUUUAAUGCACCGUGUUGUGCUCACCUCUUGUGCGUCAUUGCCCGAGGCCCGCCCCUUCCUGGCUUAGACUCUUCCUGUCUUGCAGGUAUGUGCUUGCUAGCGAAUACAAAUUAGUGGUGUGCUUGUGGUAACCAGCAUUAUUUUGAAUCGUAGUUCCCGACAUAUAACUGUCUCAUGUUGCUUGGCGACUGCUUUUAAAUGCACUCCCGCUGCAUUCCCAUACCUUCUUGCCGGUUUGAUGUCUGUUUGCGUGUGCGGCUGGACGUGUGAUCAUAGCUACAAUAAAAAGGUGGAACAGUUUUAAGGAGGACUCAUUCAGUGCAGCCUGCGGGCAAACGUAUUUUGAUGCUGCUGCUUUGUUUAUGUUGUUUCAUGUCUGUUUUGCAAUCUAACGCAGAGGCGUGAGUUGGCGCGGGUAUUGGUCCUCUCCAUUGGACCAACUUUUCUGCGUUCUGCUUAUUGGACUGUGGAAUUUGCAAUUUGUUUCAGUUUGUUUUCAUUUAAUUGGCACCUGGUCAUGAAACUGGGGGUGGCGUAGUCAGCUGAGUUACAGUUUGCCCAAUUAACUUCCCGCCACAUUUUGGCGUAGUCGGCAGGGUCGUUUCUCUUUGUUGGGCUGAGACGUGGAUGCUUAUUGUUAUUUGGUUAAAUGUUUAGUUGUGAUUUGUGGAU